UACGUAGUGUGCGAGCGUUAAUCGGAAUUACUGGGCGUAAAGCGUGCGCAGGCGGUCUGUUAAGACCGAUGUGAAAUCCCCGGGCUUAACCUGGGAACUGCAUUGGUGACUGGCAGGCUUUGAGUGUGGCAGAGGGAGGUAGAAUUCCACGUGUAGCAGUGAAAUGCGUAGAGAUGUGGAGGAAUACCGAUGGCGAAGGCAGCCUCCUGGGCCAACACUGACGCUCAUGCACGAAAGCGUGGGGAGCAAACAGG
This 254-nucleotide ribosomal RNA is filed under the name uncultured bacterium. Its description in RNAcentral is "partial 16S ribosomal RNA". It matches the Rfam family "Bacterial small subunit ribosomal RNA", at positions 524 to 776 of the family's 1533-position model. The record is from RNAcentral.